CUCAAUCGUUGAUAAAAAAUAAUCCAACAGCUGAGAUCCAAGCACCUACUCUUUUUAUUUUUACCAAAAACAAAAACCCUAACCCUAUUUAUUUUUCACAAAAAGAUCCGCACAGUUCCUAUAUCUUUCUCUCUCUACCUCCCUUUUCUCUCUAAGCGCCAUUAACGCUGGCCAGACUGCCUCUUUUCCUUUUCGUCGCUGCUCCACCAACAAAAGCCAUCCAUCCCAUCCCAAAAGAAGUCAAUAUGGCUUUGCCAGCUACUGUCAUUUUCGAUGACCCACCAAUGCCGAUGCCAGCUAUGGUGCCACACUGCUCCUCCAUCACCGCCUAGAUCUGCCGGCGCCAUCACCAACAAAACCCCUAUCGCCGUCAGAGAAGAAAGCAAAACCAGCUGCUGCUUCGCCGUCUCCAACCUCCUUUCCCAUUGAUGAGCCUUACUGGAUGUGAGUACCGAUGGGCUUUUUGUUUUUAGCACCUCUUAUCCCACCAUCAACGCCACUAACGGUGCCUCACCGCCAACUGUCCCCUGUCGUCUCUCCUUUCUCCGCCACCAUGCAGCCAUGAUUUCAUUCAAUUUUCCUCACCGAAGGUAAUGACCGGUAUUGAAUGGUAACCUCUCCAACAAUGUUUGAUUUUCAGAUAUCAUCACAGGUUCGGACGCUAAGGUUUUUGACCGCACCUAGACCUCCCAGCGCAUCAGUAGUAGCAGCAAUGGCAAGUCCUCAUAUUCUGAGGACCGGUAAUGUUGUUUUAGUAUUUCAGUUCAGUAGUUAGUUGUAGUUAGUUGGGGCUUGUCUGAUCAACUCUCAUUCAAUCAAAUAUAGCGGCUUUUGGACAUUUUAGACAAUCAGUUAGUUGUCAAUUUUUAUCAGUUAGUUUUCAGCAUUUUCGCUUAUGUUUCAGAUUUGUGAAUUUUAGUUGUAUUUUUUUCAGUAUUGAAACUUUAUGGCA
This is a long non-coding RNA of Capsicum annuum, 952 nucleotides long. RefSeq lists it as uncharacterized. NCBI's taxonomy places the organism in Eukaryota, Viridiplantae, Streptophyta, Magnoliopsida, Solanales, Solanaceae. The record is from RefSeq and is a predicted model, not a curated record. The transcript is spliced from 2 exons.